GUGCUAAGGUAAUAUAAACGCAAAGGGAAUCAGAUUACAAUGUAUUUAGAGGUGGAAUAGGUGAUUGCCCUCUUUGUUUGGUUGCACUCUGGUAACGUAAUCAGAUUACUGUGUGGGUGCUAUAUCUGAUUACGAUGGGGGAGGAGGGGUAACAAGCUUGUAUAGAUAUUAUUUAGGUAAGGGAUUCGAUUACAGUGUCAAUUGAUUGCAAACCACCGCAACCAAACAUAUGUAAUGGGAUUCGUUACCUUCAGUAAUCAGAUUACAUUACAUUUGAGCCAACCAAACACUACCUUAGUUCAUUUUACUGGCAUCUAGGGAAUGAAAAUAGAUACUGGAGUUUUAUAAAAAGAGUGUGAGGCCCGGUUUAUUUUCCACUCCUGUAUUAUAUAAUCCAGCCUAUAUUUUUUCAAACUUGGAAAGUAAGUAUUAUUCUGGAAGUAGGUAGCCGUAAAAGUAAAAAAGGAGGAUUUUUAUUUUAGGUAUUCCCUUUCCCAAAUUACAAUUAGAUUAUAAAAAUAUGGACCAGAUUAUUGUAACACUGGUAAGAAACGAGCAUUAGUCCCGUUUGGAAAACCAGUUUUCCAACUGUGACUAAUCAUUCGG
This 606-nucleotide long non-coding RNA is filed under the name Setaria viridis. RNAcentral's name for it is "long non-coding RNA (SVIR_LNC009194)". The record is from RNAcentral. Lineage: Eukaryota; Viridiplantae; Streptophyta; Magnoliopsida; Poales; Poaceae.